GGGUGCGGUUCGGAGUGCGUGCGUGCCUUACAACCGAAGACACCAGGAAAGUCCCGCGGUCAGAACUAACCCGAACAAAGAGUAACCGGGAUGUUAGUGGGGCAGCGGACGGGACCGCAGUGAGUCUAUGUGGAGUUUCCUUCCAUAUGUGGAAUCCGACUCCAGUUACAGCGGACCUCCAGGCGCGGCGCUGGGGUGUAGUGUCGAUGGAGAUAGCGUGAGUAGGGGAGCUAAGCGAGAGCUAAGGCUAGCAGCCGUUCCCUUCUAACUCACCUCAGUUUCCCAUCACUAUAGGUAGAAUUUGACUGUAGAGCACGUAUAGAAAGCGAGGCAGCACGGCCGGCUGCCUGGCAAAGGACUAGCGUGUUUCCGGGAGGGGAGUUGGACGGCUUCGCUCCGAUACAUUCCGCGGACCCGACGUUUAGGACUUCAGGAGUCGGCGGUGUUUGGAUUACCCUGCCACUCAGACGACGUUCUGGUUGUUCACCCUGCUCCAGCUGGCCGUAUGUGAGAGCAUCGCUCUUUUCUAGCCCGUUGGUUCUUCACGCCCCGUUUCUCAGGAGGCGAAGGUUGUGCAGUGUAGCAGGAAGAAUGGGACCCAAAUGCAGGACUCACGGACAACGAAGACAAACCAGGAACUAGGAAUCGUCUAGGACCACAGAGGGGAAACCCAUAGCACUGUGAGGGUGUGACGCAACAACAACGGAGGAAAACACAGAGUUUAAGUGCACAGGGGAGUAAUGAGGGAAUGAAAACAGGAGGGAAACGCAGCCGGGACUAAUCUGACAUAACGAGAAGCAAAGCAGAACACACUGAUCUGGGACAAGGACUAUCAAUGUAAAACAGGAAACACAAGACAUUUGCAAAGAUGCAGACUUGAGACAGACUCAGAAGGAACAUGAAGCACAGAGACGAAAGUAACUAGACUUGGAACACAGGGAAGAUGUGGUGACAGAGAACUAAGACUAAGCAUUCAACACAUGGAGAACAGACUUAAACCUUCACCAGGAACACAGAGGAGGCACAGAAACAGAGCAGAAACCUGGAGACCAGGAACUAUAAAUAUAACACAAACAGAAAAGCAUCAUUCAAAGAGUAUAACUUAACCAAAAACACAAAGAUCCAUUGUCCCGACAACUUUUCUUGGCAAAAUAAUAUUUGAUGUACAUAAUAACAGUAUCAGUUAGCAUAACCACAUAAAAUAUACAAAAAUAACUGUUGCAUGUUUUCAGAGAUCCUUUCAAAGGUGUCCACACGCAAGUGAGACACAAAGAAAAUGUUAAUAAGGCAACAUUUCACAGCUUUUUGUUCUCUUUGUAUUUUCUCUGAAGUCCCAGACCUGCAGCCUCCAUCACAACUUCAGCUUUAUUACGCCGAAUGAGACAUCGAGGUCGCGAACCAUACGAAGAAAAAGAGCCGAGUGACUCAUAACUGAAGUGUUUCUGACUUUUAAAGGUCUCAUGUGUGGGUUUAAACUCAUCGUUCAUCAAGCCAAACUCGUCAUGCCACUAAAUGAAUGCUGCCCAUUCAGCCAGUCCACCUGAUGUUGACUCAAUCUGAUUGAACUCAUGAAAUAAUGCUUAAAAAUGUCUUUAUGCUAAAGUGUCAAACUUGUGCAGUCAUGUGGAUGUAGUGCUACAUGAUAGUUUGACACGUUUACAGCACAGAACUCCAACACAAAUCAACAAAGCGAUGGAGACAGCUGUGUCUGUACCUGCGGCUGACUGAGUCAUCUGUGAGCAGAUCAGACAGCCGUCUCUCAGACAGGACGGAGGGGAAACAGCCUCGGCUUCACUCUUUAAGGCUCAGUCUCAAAGGUCAGACAGUUAGGUGAUGUGAUCGCAUUGACAGGACCGCACGUGAUGUCACACUUCUCCUCUUCAUCUCCUCCCCCUCCUCUUCUUUCUCAGUUUUAGAAACCAGCUUUUGCUGUCUGUUGACGUGUGAAGACUCAGCUUUAUAAACACCUUUUUUGGGGGGAAAAUGUCAUCUGUGGUCAUGAACUCUUUCUUUUCUCACUUUAACUCCAUCAGUCAGUCCUUUCUUUCAGCUCUGAGCACAGUUUUCAAUUUAUUCUUAAAGCCUUUUUUAGAUGUUAUUAACCCAAAAUGUCAUUUUUUUAAAGUGUCAUUUUUAAAGGAAAAAGGGGAAAUAAGCAAGUUUCACUGUCUCAUCUGUCACCAGAUGAUCAUAUUCAGCGCCAGAGUAAAGAUUACAAGAAUAUUGGGCUGUGUAUUAGGAUUUAUGACAUGAAUAAAUACUAUUUUGGGCCAAGUAAUGUUUAGUUUUUUGUUUUUUGUUUUUUUCUUGUGCAAACUUUCACUUUUAAAUGCUUCUGAGACCUCUGAGUGCAACGCAGAGACACCUGCUGAGAUGUUAUCACGAAGACACGCAAAGGUCGAUAUUUAAGAGACUGCAUUUAACAGCUCAUCUGAAAUAAGACACCAUCAGAAAGAAGCUCAUGGUACUCACUGGAGCUGGAUUUGAAUAUUUCU
Long non-coding RNA from Haplochromis burtoni (Burton's mouthbrooder), 2495 nucleotides. RefSeq lists it as uncharacterized. NCBI's taxonomy places the organism in Eukaryota, Metazoa, Chordata, Actinopteri, Cichliformes, Cichlidae. The record is from RefSeq and is a predicted model, not a curated record. The transcript is spliced from 3 exons.